RNAcentral lists this ribosomal RNA (495 nucleotides) under uncultured Mucilaginibacter sp. Its description in RNAcentral is "bacterial SSU rRNA". It matches the Rfam family "Bacterial small subunit ribosomal RNA", at positions 380 to 875 of the family's 1533-position model. Lineage: Bacteria; Pseudomonadati; Bacteroidota; Sphingobacteriia; Sphingobacteriales; Sphingobacteriaceae. The record is from RNAcentral.
ACUCUGAACCAGCCAUGCCGCGUGCAGGAAGACGGCCCUAUGGGUUGUAAACUGCUUUUGCCAGGGAAUAAAUGCUUUUAUGUAUAAGAGUUUGAAUGUACCUGGAGAAUAAGGAUCGGCUAACUCCGUGCCAGCAGCCGCGGUAAUACGGAGGAUCCGAGCGUUAUCCGGAAUUAUUGGGUUUAAAGGGUGCGUAGGCGGCAUGCUAAGUCAGGGGUGAAAGACGGUGGCUCAACCAUCGCAGUGCCUUUGAUACUGGUGUGCUUGAAUGUACAUGAGGUAGGCGGAAUGAGACAAGUAGCGGUGAAAUGCAUAGAUAUGUCUCAGAACACCAAUUGCGAAGGCAGCUUACUAAGGUAUGAUUGACGCUGAUGCACGAAAGCGUGGGGAUCAAACAGGAUUAGAUACCCUGGUAGUCCACGCCCUAAACGAUGAUAACUCGAUGUUGGCGAUAUACAGUCAGCGUCCAAGCGAAAGCGUUAAGUUAUCCACCUG